Parus major (Great Tit) is the source of this 7245-nucleotide long non-coding RNA. RefSeq lists it as uncharacterized. The record is from RefSeq and is a predicted model, not a curated record. Lineage: Eukaryota; Metazoa; Chordata; Aves; Passeriformes; Paridae. The transcript is spliced from 2 exons.
CCUGAACAAGAAAAGUGAAGGUAAUUCCCACUGCAACUCUUCAGCAACAUGCUGGGAAAGCAAAUGGGGUUUCCUCACUUUCAAAGGGCAAUGAGCAGAAGAUUUCCCUGAAUGGAUCGAGUUCAUCAGGCCAAAGACCCUGAAAGUAACCCUUUUUCCCAGCAAAACCAGCCCAAAAUGCUUGGCUAUUGAUACAUGACCGCAGCGCAGCUGGGAUGGCUUUCAGUGUUGUCACACCCCUGCCAUGGGUGUUUUGUGGAAGGGACACAUCAGUCUGAGCAAGCACACGAGACAGCACAGCUCCUGCUGGAAUUUCAAUGCUCUUCCAAUGAAAGUGGGCAGCGCCCAUCACCCCUGAAGAGAAAUUCUCAGGAAGGACUGCAAGGUCUCCAUCACACCUAGUGUAAAGGUUCUGCCAUUUGAGAAACCAUCUCCCACCAGAAGUCUGCCCAGGCAUCAAGAUGCAUCUGGGGGCUUGAAGCUUGUAUGUGAAGCCUGCUCCUCUUAACGCUUCCGUACACCUUGAAACAAUACCUUCAGGCAGGAAGAUCCCUUCCCCCACCUCUGACAACAGCACAGCCACCACCUCAGAGGAAAUGUACUGGCUCUGCAUUUCAGACUAUCUCUGUAAGGACCAUCUCUUCGUGGGACUGAGAAUGUCGAGAGACCAUUUUCCUGCCCCAAGGCAGGGCAGUUUUCCUUCUGCCUCACUCACCUCCAUCCCAACCUACACAUUAUCAGGACGGCAAGUUCAGAGCACACCAUGGCCUGGUGAUCACACACUGUCUCAGUCUACUGCAUGAACAGAUGGGGAUCAAGAGGAGACUGCCAGGCAGGCUUGGAUGCCUCCCAGAAGCAGAACCGCCUACAGCACAGCAAAAACCUUUCUUCAAAUGUAAUUACUGCUGAAUUUUACAUCAAUGGCAAUUUCCAACUGAGCCAUAGCUCUGUGUCAAUGAGGGGGCUGGGAACAGGCGGUAUUUCACAGAGAAGAACACAACAAUGCUGUGGCAGAACUGGCCCUCCUGGGAUGACACCCACUACCACGUGGAAAGGAUACACAGACUCUCUGCAUGCCAAAACCUCCUCUCAUCAGAGAGCCUGCCUGCAGUGGCGCAGGAAGAUGCCCUGUCUUAGCAUGAAGCCCACUCUGCAUUCCUCACAGUGGGCUUUCACCAUUGACAGAGUAGAAACAAGCAACAUUGUCUGCAGGGAAGUACAGAAAGUAACAUUAUGACAACUGGAGAUUGAAAAAUGUAAUUUCUAUUUAGUCACUACUUUCAAGCCAGUCCUGCACAGAUACCGUUUUCCUAUAAAAGUUUAUAGGAAGUUGCCUUCCACCACCUCUACCACAAUGGCUGCUGGUGCACGGUGCUGUCAGCCACUCACCUACUACAGGGGCUCUCUUGGGAUCACACACUGCACUGAUCUUCCCCAAACAUGCUGGGAAGGCUCCACCAUUUGGAGUGCUUGACACUCUCAUGCCAGCAGCAGGACCUUCAGAAGCACACAGUGCUGCACCUAGAAAGCUCUGCAUUCAGGAACCAGGAAAGCCAAAGACCAUAAAAGGGUCUUAUGGCAAUUUGCAGGAAUUCACUUUGGGUUCAAAUCACCAGUUUCUCACCAGAAUCACAAUAAACUGAUAGAGCAGUUUCCUUGCUUUCUUCCAAGGACAGAUAUCCAGAGGCAAAGCCUACUGAAAAGCCCUGGGUAGUAAUGCCCAUUUGCUAUGCGGAGAUUUGAAAACUGACUCAGGAACUGAGUCACACUUCCUGCCUCACCAUCCAACCACAGCUCAGAGAGGCUCCUUUUUUCUACCAUAAAUGGCCCUCUGCAGCUACAGGGCCCAGUCAACAGGAACUGAGCCUUGACUUCACACAGCAGCAGUGAAAAGGGAACCAGCCUGCAAACCAAGGUCUGCACAUGCAGCAGGAGCCCAGCACUUGCUCUUAAGUGUGGUUAAGAAUCAGAAGAGAAGCACCACAGAUGUCUUGGAGCCUUCCUCCACUUGUGGGCUCAACACAUCAGUCAGGGAAACUACUUCUACAUGGUCAGGCUUAGCUUUGAACUUGCAAAAUUAGUGGUGCCUUCUGCCUUUCAGGCUGCAGGGUCAUACAAGAUGAUUACUUUUCCAUGAGAGAGUGUCAACACACUUGCUCUUGUCUUUCAGCAAAGCAGGACUCCUGGUUGGCAUGGGGCUGCUCCUUUGACCAGUGUGAGAUGGGAGCACAGAUGCUCCUCUAAGGGUCAGAUGUUAGAUUCAUCAACAUCACAAGGGCACUGCUGCCAGCACAGUACUUGUAGGCAGGAGGCCUGGAGAUGCUUACUCACCUCAUCAGCGCCGUGUUCCUGGAGUUCCUUGUAGAAUUUCAGAGAAAUACUGACCAUGACUUUUGUCUUGUCUCCAUUGGGGUUUGAAAUAUGGUAAAGGACUCCAUCAAAGUCUAAGAAGCAAGCAAGAGAAAUGUGAGGGAACCGAAACCAGUUCCUAUUUCUGAGGAAGGUUUUCCCUACAAGUUCUAGUAACUGCAUAAAGUGACACUGCUCCUCUUGUUCCAGCCCUCACAUGCACAGCAAGAGAGAAACCCGCAAUUAAGGAAACUGGUAAUGUCAUGUAGGGAGACCUGCUAUCAUUCACAGGGCUGAAACAAUUUUGACACCUGUCCAUCACUGAAAGCUUUAGUCCAGUGUCACUUAGCAUCCAUGGCAAAUCCACUUGUGCUCAAUGCACAAGGAUACAAACAUGCAGAGACAGGAGCCUUCUGGAUGGCCAGCACAGAAAGUGAUUGACAUGCCCACCAGGCCAGAGCUGCAGCCGGGAGGAGAAAAUCUCUCUGCCAGCAAAGGCAGCUCAGCCGCUGCCUACUGCGAGAGCUUCCACUUCACUGCAGAAUGGGCAGGGAGGGCAGGAGGAAGGGAAAAGCAACCCUCCAGCUACCUAGUAAGCUCCACUUCCCCACUGUGCUUUGCAGCUUACACAGAUUCCUGAUAACAGAAGCAAAAAUCAGUUGCUGAAUGAGUACUUUAACUUCCUUGGCAUUUCUCUUCCUGAAGAGCAAACUUGAGGUGAUGAAUCCAUUUUGCCUGUCACCCUAAGUCAGCUUCCUAACAACUCAAACCAGAUGGUGCUAAAGACCUCGUAACAAGUAGCACCAAGGGCAGGACUGGAGAACAGAUGAGGUAAAAGAGCUGUGUAGCAGGCACACACCAAAGCACACCAGUGAACUCAAUGCUCUAGUGAAGUCCCUGGGAAGGCAUACAGACAGAGAAAUAGUGGGGCAGCCAGUGAAACACCAGCCAGCUCUGUGGAUACUGCAGGAUCUCCACAUCGCCCCUGCCCAGUGGUGUGGGCAGAUUGUUCAAGCCAGCCCUUCAUUCAGAGAACUCAAGAGAGCUGUGGAACUUACCUGCAAACGUUACUUCUACUGCCUCUGGUUUAUUUCUAAAAAGCAAAGAAAACAAAGGACAUAAAUGAAAACUCUAACAGCAGCCUCCAAGCUGUGAAGGAAAGAGGAUUAAUUUCCAAGGCUUUAUUUCUCACAGGCAGUUCUUCCUUAAAACCCUUUUAUCUCCUGCUGUCCAACUAGUAGUAACCUUUGACAAGAGAUCUUAGACUUCUUCCCCUUCCUAUAAGGACCAUUCUACCCCAGAUGACAUAACAUAGACUUUGAAGCUGGCACAGAUUUCUACUAUUUCUAGAUUAUGUAUAGACUUUGACAUCACAGAUUUCCAGUUAGAAUGCCUAAGAAAGCUACUCCUUACUAAGAAGUUUGUUUUCACAAGUAUUACUCUGUACAGAAUGUCCAUGACACAGAUUUUGGGACAGAGGAUCUUUUGUAAGGUCCUGCAAUACCAGUUCACAGAAGGAGCUGAGUAAUCCUUCCUGACACAGAGCCCCCUCUGCCAUCAACACCAGUUCUGCAAAUGCAUUGAUAUAACUUGCUUGCAGAAAAGACCCCUUUUCCAAGUAAGGAAAGUGUUAGUAGUGUUAGGAGCAGUGUUAGGAACAAGCCAAAGAAGGAAACUUUCCACAUGUUCAUUUCAUCCCACCCCGCUUCCAAAACACCCCAACAUUUUGCUAACAGCCUCUGCAGAAAAACUGUAUCUCUGGAUGUGCUUUAACACUGUCUUGAGUGGUCUCUGGAACCCCUGAUCAGCAAAAAAAACCCUUUGCAAGCCAAAGGCACAUCACAUGUUACACUGUGACUAUGAAGAUUAAACUGCUUCUUAACAAACCUUAUUUUGACAUUUCUCCAUGAUCUGUGAGAGAUGUAACUGCUUCUGGAAGGUCAUUUCAUUGGAAUUGGCAGUACAUAACUACUUUCACAGCUCCAAGGGGACUGGUAUUAAUAGGUCACUCUCCAACAGAGAAUUGAUGCAAAGGUAUCUCCACUGCUGAGAGCAGGUGUGGAAAAUGAGAACAGGAUAAAAAUGCCAGACUGCUACUGCUGUUUCACACUGUAUCUCCAUUUCUUUGUCAGAAGUAGAUGAUAUCAAGAGUACAGGCUAAUAAUGCUGCUACUAACAGAAAUCUAGUCUCUAACAGUUCAUUACCACCUGUCUGAACCAACAUAGUGAAAUAACUCCUCAGAGUAAAGUCAGUGGUCUCAACUAUGCUGCUGCUGCUGCUGCCCAGAGACCAGCUUCCACCGUUUUGCCAAAACUUGCUCUUCCACACACUUAUGUGCUGCUGGGUCCUGGCUACACCAUGAUUCAUACACUGAGAAAGGUGGGGAGAAGCAAUGACUUGGUAUCUACUUUCCCUGACCAUAUUCUGUAACAAUUGAAAUUAUUUUAUCUCAGCAGCGAGCACUAUUUUCCCAUCAGCUUUUCUGCAGCCCAGUCUCAUUCCUGGAAGGUAGAAAUGACCACAAUGUGAUAAAACUCAAGCUGGGCAAUACAGGGAGAGCAAGGCACUGCAUUGAUCCCAGACACUCACCAGGUCAAUAUUUUACUCCAGCAGAAAGGGAAAAAAUAACCCCCAGAUGGAGAUCCUAAGUGAAAAUGAAAAGGUGUUCCUGCUUUGUGAAAGUGAUCAGCUAUGAAGGGCAACAGCCCCUUUUUUGUCUGAAGGCUGGGGAGCCUCUGUCUUUUGUGCCACACUGCUGAAGAUAAAACCCACACUUGAAAGGAGUGGUGCAAGUGCACCCAAAGCAGGUCCUACGUGUGACCUCUCUUACUUUCAUCUCCCCUUCCCGACUGGGCCUGAGAUGGGCUCAGCAGGCAUUCUUGGCUGCAUAUUUAGUUUGGGCUCUUGGAAAGGGGAGCAAUUCCCCAACAUGUGCAAGCCACUUCUGCUCACUGAGGAUGGCUCAGAGCAGAGAUGAAAGAAAAUCCCCGAGAUCCCACUCGGUCAGUUGAUGCGGACGUGUUCUUCUUUUAGAGCAUCACACUCAGACGUGGGAAUCAGCUUGGAUGGCAGUAUAAAUUUUUAUAAAAAAAGAAACCUAUGUAGGAAGCUUUAAAGAUAGCACAGCCAGGCACAUGAGAGCUAGGAAUACUAAACAGGACACAUCCUUAAACCUCUGUUCCAUCUUCUCAGAGUUACACCUUUCAAAUUCCAUUCCCCACACACACAGAGUUGACAUCUCCCGGAGCCCCCGCUCCCAGCAGAGCCUUCCAAACACAGCACCCCCCUCUGAGAAAUGCAAGGAAGUGGCUGACAGCCAGUGUACUGGAGUGGUUUUGCUGAGGAAGGAUGAUUCCCCAUUUGGUUGCCCUGUACCCAAGGGAUGGCAGGAAGAUCACUCAUCACAUCAUUGAAGAAACCGAGGAAGACCAUGUACAGGAGCCAGCUGAUGGCUCUGCACGAGAGCCUUUGUUCUGCACACAAAAGCUCACUGCUAACACAGCUGGGUUUGAGCCUGUUAUUGUGCAAGUGUCAUUUCUUAGAAGUUAUUUUAUAGCUGAUUUCCCAAGUGGCUCAGUUCCGGUACUUGGGGAUGGUAAGGAGGGGGAGUAUUUAAGGGAAAAGAAGGUAACUGGGCAGAACUUUAGGAGCUGAAUAUUCAACCACUUCCCGGCACAGCCUCAGUGAAGCAAGAGCUCACGUGAGCCGCAUACAGAGCUCCUCACUGCCACGCUGGCCCUGUCAUCUACGGCACUCACCAGGCACACACUUAAGUAACCCAGGCCUCGCCUGGCCCAUGGGAGGACAAGGAAGAGCAUUGGAAGUGUGGCUGGGAGCAAAGUGAGCCCUCUUAGCCUUUCACAGUUCAGGAGCUUUACAAUUACAAUGUUUAAAGUGCUUCUAUUUCUUUCUCUGGUUCACCUAAUCAAAACUACCCUGGCUACUCAAAAUGUCUCUCUAAUAGAAAAAACAUUCCUUUUGCUACUGGGAUUGUUGUUCCCGCUUCAAGAAGUCCCCAAGCAGAAGAGAGAGGAGCUCUCACCUCCAGCAUUCCAUAGCUUCUGGAUGAGCAAAAAUGCUGCAGGUCACACACACAUGUUCACUUCCCCUUGACCUUCCAGCAACCCCAUCUUCCACCAGCAGAAAUAGCUCUAUAGAGGCACAACAUGUCCUCUCCUUGUUCUGUCCUUCCUGCUCUUGUGUGGACAAAGGCUCAGUGCAGAGGGUUCACAGCAGGCCCGGGAUGGGGCAUGCACCACUGAGAGUGAGUACCAGGUACUGUCAGGUUACUGGCACGAUCCCAAAGAGCUCUGUGUGGUCUGGUGUGCUCUGGCAUCCCUUGCCUCCAUGAGGAGGCCCUCCACACCCAUAGAAGGAAUUGGCAGCUCAGCAGCUUGGUGCUGAAUGACUCUGAAUUGCAGCCAUUUCUAAGUCCCAGCCGGACUGUAAAUCUCAACUGGGAAGCCAGGAGGUCCUUGGAGGUUCACUUCUACCCUUGAUCCAAAUCUCUGAGAAACAGACUAAGCCUACCUAUACUCAGAGGAUUUGAGAUAGGACACCUCAUCCACUCCUGGGGCAGAGAGCUGCUGUGACCUCUUCAAGCUCCUUACCUCCAAUGUUACCUGAACCAUCCCUAAGUGACCUUCCCUGUUUGCUACCCUCUGCCCUGAAUGGACAAUAAAACCAUCUCAUACCAGGAAUAUCUGAGAUGGCUUCUCUCUGCACUAAACAUUGAAUCCAGACCUUUCUGCAAACCCCGGCCUGAACUCUGAUGAGAAAACGGCAGCUGUUCCCAGCACCAGUCGUUUUGUGAUAACUGUUAUCAGGACUGAAGUCAAACCCACACAAAAUCCCAUCUGCCCUCUGCUUGUAACAAUAAAAGACCCUGACAAGUU